This 672-nucleotide long non-coding RNA is filed under the name Notechis scutatus (mainland tiger snake). RNAcentral's name for it is "lncRNA (ENSNSUG00000001278.1)". Lineage: Eukaryota; Metazoa; Chordata; Lepidosauria; Squamata; Elapidae. The record is from RNAcentral.
GACUCUUGCUUUAUUAUGGGAUGUAAAGGCCGUUCUCUUUCCAUCCUUUCUCUAGCUCCUCCUACCAUCCUGGACGGCGCCGUGGCUCUGACCCCAACUUCCCAACAGGAACCUGCCGCUGCUGUUCCUUUCUACUCCAUGGUACCUGCCUCUAUGGGCCCAGCACCUGGCUCUCUGAACCCCUAUGGAGCCGAGAUGAACCCCAUGUACAGGGGGCCAGCGGCGCUGCCAGCAGGUCUACCUCCUCAAGGCCCUGACCUGCAGCCACAUGAGGGGACCCAGCAUGAAGCAGGGGUGGCUGAACCUCCCGCAUGGAAGGCAGUUGCAGAAGAAGACUUCUACGCGAAGAUGGCAAACAUGGUAUUGGCCAGUUUCUUUUUCUCUCCCUUUAUUAGUGGUCUUCAUUGUGCGGCCACAUGGAGCCUGAGGGCUUGUGGGAAGUUUCCAAGCCUGCCUUGCGUGCUCUGGCUUAAUUUGGGCACGUUAGUUCCGGAGUGCCAAAAUGUGUGGAAGAGGUUCUAGAGCCGUGGUGGCUAACCUUUUGGGGCUCCUGUGCCAAAAAUUGUGCACGCGCUUGCAUGCUCACGCUCGCGUGCCAGCAGCCAGAAGGCAAUGCAUGUCCCCCCACAUCCCCUACGCAUGUGUGUGCAAUCCCACCCACCCCCUUACCUG